This 296-nucleotide long non-coding RNA is filed under the name Calidris pugnax (ruff). RNAcentral's name for it is "lncRNA (ENSCPUG00000007884.1)". Lineage: Eukaryota; Metazoa; Chordata; Aves; Charadriiformes; Scolopacidae. The record is from RNAcentral.
GAAGGAACUACAGAAGCUUGGUCAUUAGGUCACUCUUUAGGAGACCGAAGAUCCAAGUCUUUUAAUCCCUGAAGACUAAAUUUGAACAUGGGUCUACGCUACCUGGUGCUAAGUGGCCUUGAGGGUAAAACCAGGGCUCCGUGGAUGCAGGAAACAGAGCUAUCUUUGAAACCCAAGAAGAAAAAUAUUCUCAGUGGAACCAAAGUUGGCAUUUGCUCUGGUUCAUUGCCAAAGCCCAGGAGCUGGAAACUGAUAUAAAGGAGAAUAACACCAUAAAGGACUGGCUGAGAAAUCAG